UACGAAGGGGGCUAGCGUUGCUCGGAAUCACUGGGCGUAAAGCGCACGUAGGCGGAUUGUUAAGUCAGGGGUGAAAUCCUGGAGCUCAACUCCAGAACUGCCUUUGAUACUGGCGAUCUUGAGUCCGGGAGAGGUGAGUGGAACUGCGAGUGUAGAGGUGAAAUUCGUAGAUAUUCGCAAGAACACCAGUGGCGAAGGCGGCUCACUGGCCCGAUACUGACGCUGAUGCACGAAAGCGUGGGGAGCAAACAGG
Molecule: ribosomal RNA, 253 nt
Filed under: uncultured bacterium
Lineage: Bacteria
Description: partial 16S ribosomal RNA
Rfam family: Bacterial small subunit ribosomal RNA
Source: RNAcentral